RNAcentral lists this ribosomal RNA (235 nucleotides) under uncultured Staphylococcus sp. RNAcentral describes it as "partial 16S ribosomal RNA". It matches the Rfam family "Bacterial small subunit ribosomal RNA", at positions 105 to 334 of the family's 1533-position model. The record is from RNAcentral. Lineage: Bacteria; Bacillati; Bacillota; Bacilli; Caryophanales; Staphylococcaceae.
GGUGAGUAACACGUGGAUAACCUACCUAUAAGACUGGGAUAACUUCGGGAAACCGGAGCUAAUACCGGAUAAUAUAUUGAACCGCAUGGUUCAAUAGUGAAAGACGGUUUUGCUGUCACUUAUAGAUGGAUCCGCGCCGCAUUAGCUAGUUGGUAAGGUAGCGGCUUACCAAGGCAACGAUGCGUAGCCGACCUGAGAGGGUGAUCGGCCACACUGGAACUGAGACACGGUCCAG